CUCUUCUAGGUAGGCAACUCAUCCAUUUCGCUCCGAAGCCACAUGACCGCACUCACUUCUUGCAGUUUGAUGAACAUGUAAGAUAACAAAGAGCUCGCUAUUACAUUAUAACAGAGCAUCAUAAAUGUUUGUUCUAAGCUAAUCAGGAAUAAGAGCUUAAGUAUAUUCUUAGUUAGACAUGUACAUGCAUAUGCUCAGUUAGCAACCACAUAAAUAUACUACAACUAGUCAUCUCAGAUGAGAAAUUGAUUUCCAGCUCUUGUCUGCAUGUAUUUUACUCAUCUUAGCAAAUCACACCAGUAACAGUUAACUUCGACAUGUUUUCUCAUUAGGUUGUCAAACUGCAAGAAGGCAUGCCUUGCUGAUCUUUGUAACUUAAAUAUGAAAAACUCACUGUACCUUUCUCUCACUGAUUGAACAAAAAAAUGGUUUCAAUUAGUUCCCUGCUUGCUGCUCUGGGCCAGUAUGGUUCAGUUAUUUCUUGACUUUCAACUUUAUUCAGACAAGAUGCAAGCAAGAUAUACAGAGUGACGCUACAGCAGUUCUAACUUCAGAAUAUGUGUUUAUUGCAUUUUUCAAAGUUGAACAUUCAACAAAUAGAUGUAUAAGGUAGCAGGUAGUGUCCUUUCAAAAGUUAUUCCUUACAUAUUUGAAACAAAGCUACUGCUAGACUUGAAUGUAAAAGAACUAGUAGAGAAAAAAAGUAGUAGAAUUGACCCUAAUAUUUCCCAUAUUAGGCGACAAAAUGCAUAUUAUUUCUAAACAAUGCUAUAUUUUUAGCACAUAGUGUCAAAAUUAAUCAGACCGAUGAUAUACCAAUGAAACUUAUGUGCAACAAAAUGAUUCUCUCCUCACAUUUCUACACUACAUCCAAUUAUCAAUAUCUAACACAAAAUGGUCGGCUGUAUUUUGUUACUUUGUUAUCAGAUAUAGGAGUACUAUAUGCUAAUAAUAAUGGGAUUUUUUACUAUGGAGUAUAAAAUCAGUACCGAAAGGUAGAGAUCCUACUUGAGCAUCUACAUGUAUAAUGUUAAGGCACACAUAAAUGACAUCAAAAAAGGGUUGGAGUUGUCUUGAAUAGUAGUCCAGAUCUAGCGUCAACUAACUUCAAACAGGGGGAGGAGGAAUGUGAUGGGGAAGCAGGCAGAUGAACAACAGGAAGGGCCUCUCACAGCGGUGGUGCUGGAAAAGGGAGAGGAGCCGGUGGUGGCUCUCAGUGACGAUGUGCUUGGCGAGCUCGCCGGGGAGGACGAGGCGAACGGAGGACUGGCGGCGGAAACCCUAGACGAAGAUGAGGGAGGGGGAGGGGGUGGUGUACCUCGGGGGAGAAGGCCAGCUUUCCCUAGGAAGAAGAGGAAGCAGGCGUCCGACGGCGUUAGCAGCGACGACGGCGGCUGCGCGCGGUUCUCGCCGUCUCUUGUGACCGCGGCCGCGUCUCUUCUCCCUCCCGCAUGAGGCGUGUGAGACGCGAGGUACCCCUCGAUGCUGGAAAGCCCCGUGGAUCGGGGAGGAUCAGACGGGAUAUUCGGGGCUGACCCGGUUGA
This 1544-nucleotide long non-coding RNA is filed under the name Triticum aestivum (bread wheat). Its description in RNAcentral is "long non-coding RNA (TAES_LNC025546)". The record is from RNAcentral. Lineage: Eukaryota; Viridiplantae; Streptophyta; Magnoliopsida; Poales; Poaceae.